AACGAACGCUGGCGGCAUGCCUAACACAUGCAAGUCGAACGAGACCUUCGGUCUAGUGGCGCACGGGUGCGUAACGCGUGGGAAUCUGCCCUUGGGUUCGGAAUAACAGCGAGAAAUUGCUGCUAAUACCGGAUGAUGACGUAAGUCCAAAGAUUUAUCGCCCAAGGAUGAGCCCGCGUAGGAUUAGCUAGUUGGUGAGGUAAAGGCUCACCAAGGCGACGAUCCUUAGCUGGUCUGAGAGGAUGAUCAGCCACACUGGGACUGAGACACGGCCCAGACUCCUACGGGAGGCAGCAGUGGGGGAAUAUUGGACAAUGGGCGGAAAGACCUGAUCCACGCAAUGCCGCGUGAGUGAUGAAGGACCGUUACGGGUUU
Molecule: ribosomal RNA, 375 nt
Filed under: uncultured bacterium
Lineage: Bacteria
Description: bacterial SSU rRNA
Rfam family: Bacterial small subunit ribosomal RNA
Source: RNAcentral